GCGCCUGGGGGGCGGGCUACCAUGCAGUCGACGGUAGCACAGAGAGCUUGCUCUCGGGUGACGAGUGGCGGACGGGUGAGUAAUGUCUGGGAAACUGCCUGAUGGAGGGGGAUAACUACUGGAAACGGUAGCUAAUACCGCAUAACGUCGCAAGACCAAAGAGGGGGACCUUCGGGCCUCUUGCCAUCAGAUGUGCCCAGAUGGGAUUAGCUAGUAGGUGGGGUAACGGCUCACCUAGGCGACGAUCCCUAGCUGGUCUGAGAGGAUGACCAGCCACACUGGAACUGAGACACGGUCCAGACUCCUACGGGAGGCAGCAGUGGGGAAUAUUGCACAAUGGGCGCAAGCCUGAUGCAGCCAUGCCGCGUGUAUGAAGAAGGCCUUCGGGUUGUAAAGUACUUUCAGCGGGGAGGAAGGUGUUGUGGUUAAUAACCACAGCAAUUGACGUUACCCGCAGAAGAAGCACCGGCUAACUCCGUGCCAGCAGCCGCGGUAAUACGGAGGGUGCAAGCGUUAAUCGGAAUUACUGGGCGUAAAGCGCACGCAGGCGGUCUGUCAAGUCGGAUGUGAAAUCCCCGGGCUCAACCUGGGAACUGCAUUCGAAACUGGCAGGCUAGAGUCUUGUAGAGGGGGGUAGAAUUCCAGGUGUAGCGGUGAAAUGCGUAGAGAUCUGGAGGAAUACCGGUGGCGAAGGCGGCCCCCUGGACAAAGACUGACGCUCAGGUGCGAAAGCGUGGGGAGCAAACAGGAUUAGAUACCCUGGUAGUCCACGCCGUAAACGAUGUCGACUUGGGAGGUUGUGCCCUUGAGGCGUGGCUUCCGGAGCUAACGCGUUAAGUCGACCGCCUGGGGAGUACGGCCGCAAGGUUAAAACUCAAAUGAAUUGACGGGGGCCCGCACAAGCGGUGGAGCAUGGGGUUUAAUUCGAUGCAACGCGAAGAACCUUACCUACUCUUGACAUCCAGAGAACUUACCAGAGAUGCAUUGGUGCCUUCGGGAACUCUGAGACAGGUGCUUGCAUGGCUGUCGUCAGCCUCGUGUUUGUGAAAUGGUUGG
This 1056-nucleotide ribosomal RNA is filed under the name Enterobacter kobei. RNAcentral's name for it is "bacterial SSU rRNA". It matches the Rfam family "Bacterial small subunit ribosomal RNA", at positions 33 to 1079 of the family's 1533-position model. Lineage: Bacteria; Pseudomonadati; Pseudomonadota; Gammaproteobacteria; Enterobacterales; Enterobacteriaceae. The record is from RNAcentral.